RNAcentral lists this ribosomal RNA (672 nucleotides) under Triticum aestivum (bread wheat). RNAcentral describes it as "partial small subunit ribosomal RNA". The record is from RNAcentral. Lineage: Eukaryota; Viridiplantae; Streptophyta; Magnoliopsida; Poales; Poaceae.
AUGGUGGUACCCAAGUCUAUGGGGGGCAUGGGAUUCCGUGAUAUGAGAGCCUUCAACCAGGCUUUGUUGUCCAAGCAAGCUUGGCGAUUAUUGGACUGUCCAAAUAGCCUGUGUGUGAGACUUCUUAGAGCCAAAUAUUAUCCCCAUGGUAAUCUGCUGGAUACAGUGUUCCUUAUGAGCUCAUCCGCAGCAUGGAAGGGGAUUGUACAUGGUCUGGAAUUGGUGAAGAAAUGCAUUAUUUGGCGGGUGGGAGACGGGACGCUAAUUAGAACUUGGAGAGAUGCUUGGAUCCCGAGGGGUCAUAAUCUUCGGCCAAUAACACCAAAAUGUAAUUGCAGACUUAAUUGGGUGGCUGAUUUCUUGGAUGUACAUGGUGCUUGGAAUGAGCAAAGGUUGCGAGAACACUUCUGGGACAUGGAUGUACGUGAGAUUCUUAAGAUUCGUACCUCAUCGAGGAAUGGCCAAGACUUCAUAGCCUGGUUCCCGAAGAGAAGCGGAAAAUUCACUGUGAGUGCUUAUAGGUUGGCUACGUUGGGGACCGCCCCUGACAUGUUAACCGCGUCCAGCAACAAUCCAUCGGGGGAGUGGCCGGUUUGGCAAUGCAUAUGGGGCGCUAAGGUACCACUCAAGAUGAUGAUCUUGUCCUGGAAAGUGGUCUCUCAGGUGCACUAG